UGCCUAAUGCAUGCAAGUCGAACGCAGCAGGCGCGCCUGGCUGCGUGGCGAACGGCUGAGGAACACGUGGGUCACCUGCCCCGGAGUGGGGGAUACCCCGUCGAAAGACGGGACAAUCCCGCAUACGCUCUAUGGAGGAAAGCCGCAAGGCGCUCUGGGAGGGGCCUGCGGCCCAUCAGGUAGUUGGUGUGGUAACGGCGCACCAAGCCAAUGACGGGUACCCGGUCUGAGAGGACGACCGGGCAGACUGGGACUGAGACACGGCCCAGACUCCUACGGGAGGCAGCAGCAAGGAAUUUUCCCCAAUGGGCGCAAGCCUGAGGGAGCAACGCCGCGUGGAGGACGACGGCCUUCGGGUUGUAAACUCCUUUCGGGUGGGACGAUGCUGACGGUACCACCAGAAGCAGCCCCGGCUAACUCUGUGCCAGCAGCCGCGGUAAGACAGAGGGGGCAAGCGUUGUCCGGAGUUACUGGGCGUAAAGGGCGCGCAGGCGGUGGGCUGCGUCGGCGCUGAAAGCGCCCCGCUUAACGGGGCGAGGCGCGCCGAUACGAGUCCACUCGAGGCAAGCAGAGGGUGGCGGAAUUCCGGGUGGAGCGGUGAAAUGCGUAGAGAUCCGGAGGAACGCCGGUGGGGAAGCCGGCCACCUGGGCUUGACCUGACGCUGCGGCGCGACAGCGUGGGGAGCAAACCGGAUUAGAUACCCGGGUAGUCCACGCCGUAAACG
RNAcentral lists this ribosomal RNA (725 nucleotides) under uncultured Chloroflexota bacterium. Its description in RNAcentral is "bacterial SSU rRNA". It matches the Rfam family "Bacterial small subunit ribosomal RNA", at positions 45 to 808 of the family's 1533-position model. Lineage: Bacteria; Bacillati; Chloroflexota. The record is from RNAcentral.